This 1213-nucleotide long non-coding RNA is filed under the name Apteryx rowi (Okarito brown kiwi). RNAcentral's name for it is "lncRNA (ENSARWG00000004710.1)". The record is from RNAcentral. Lineage: Eukaryota; Metazoa; Chordata; Aves; Apterygiformes; Apterygidae.
AUGGGGGAAGGGAGAGGAAGAAGGAGCUCAGCAGGCAGCCAGGAGGAGGUUCUGCUGGUGAGACAGAGUCACUCCUUAGUCACUCCCUUCUACUCAUCUUUCUUCUUAUCAUGUUAUCUACUCUGCUUCCCAGCCACGGUCAAUGCUUAUUAUUUGUUUCCCCUCAAGAAACCAUUUCCCAACGCAAAGCUUGGCCAGUUGUUGAAUUCUUGAGCAUUUCCUUUUGACUUCAGGAUACAACAUCACAAAAGAAGAACAAAAAUCAAUAAUCUGCUUGGAUUUUUAAUGGACAUAAGACAGAAAGAUGAUCAGCAUAGAUUAAAUACCUACAUACAUGCAAGUGCAUUCCCUCCUCACACUGAAAUUUUACUAGUCUCACUUUAAGUGAAAGGGUAGGUACUGUUUCUGUCUGAAUUUAUGUAAAUAUAUGAAAAGCUAAUGCAAAUAUAUGGCCUUCUGCUCUCUUGCUGUUCAGCAAACAGUUUGGAAGAGUUUUGGAACCAUUUAUGAGUUACUACACAACAAAAUUCUUGAAACAUCCAGUAUGGUUUUACUGUUACUCAAAAAAUGUCUCAGUUAGCUCAGCCUUCAACAUAAUCUACAAACUGCCCUCCCCCACUAAGCAGGAUAGGGCAACAAGACUAGCAAGCUAUUAAAAAGAAAUGUACAAAUAUUUGCUUCUAGGUGCAUGCACACAACUCAGAACACACACCCUGCAUAUGCUAGAAGCAGAAAAACACAUACCAUACAUAUAAAACCCCCCCCACAUAUGCAAGCACAUGCUCACAAAGACAUGUAGGUGCAAACUUAAAACAUGUAUCAGUAGAAAAACACCAUACUUCCUAUACUCGCAAAAGUAUAUGCAAAUAACAAAGACAAUAUCAUCACAGUACACAAACUUGCACGUAUAUAUGUACAUGCAUAUAUGCUAUAUGUAUAUAUAUGCAUAUACAUGCACACACCUGCAUAAACACACAGCAUAAACAAAUCGCAGCACAAAAAUUGUAACUUACCAUACAGAGAAAAUUACAUUCAUACUGUUCUCCAAGCUGCAUACAGACAUGCAUAUUGUCUGUGUUCCCAUACAAAGCUCUAUCAUGUAACUUCUGUAUGUCUCUCAUUUUGUUUAAGGGCAUAUGACUCCUAAAAGGAUGGAGACAAUUCUGCUGAGUUUGCAAUGCAACUUAAAACAGAUAACAGAACAUACUGAAAA